Molecule: ribosomal RNA, 368 nt
Filed under: Vibrio parahaemolyticus
Lineage: Bacteria; Pseudomonadati; Pseudomonadota; Gammaproteobacteria; Vibrionales; Vibrionaceae
Description: bacterial SSU rRNA
Rfam family: Bacterial small subunit ribosomal RNA
Source: RNAcentral
GGGGACGACGUCAAGUCAUCAUGGCCCUUACGAGUAGGGCUACACACGUGCUACAAUGGCGCAUACAGAGGGCGGCCAACUUGCGAAAGUGAGCGAAUCCCAAAAAGUGCGUCGUAGUCCGGAUUGGAGUCUGCAACUCGACUCCAUGAAGUCGGAAUCGCUAGUAAUCGUGGAUCAGAAUGCCACGGUGAAUACGUUCCCGGGCCUUGUACACACCGCCCGUCACACCAUGGGAGUGGGCUGCAAAAGAAGUAGGUAGUUUAACCUUCGGGGGGACGCUUACCACUUUGUGGUUCAUGACUGGGGUGAAGUCGUAACAAGGUAGCGCUAGGGGAACCUGGCGCUGGAUCACCUCCUUAAACGAUGAU